This 1195-nucleotide ribosomal RNA is filed under the name uncultured bacterium. RNAcentral describes it as "bacterial SSU rRNA". It matches the Rfam family "Bacterial small subunit ribosomal RNA", at positions 211 to 1399 of the family's 1533-position model. The record is from RNAcentral.
GCUAUCGCUGAAGGAGGGGGUUGCGUCUGAUUAGCUAGUUGGAGGGGUAACGGCCCACCAAGGCAAUGAUCAGUAGCCGGUCUGAGAGGAUGAACGGCCACAAUGGGACUGAGACACGGCCCAUACUCCUACGGGAGGCAGCAGUAGGGAAUCUUCCACAAUGGGCGCAAGCCUGAUGGAGCAACACCGCGUGAGUGAAGAAGGUUUUCGGAUCGUAAAGCUCUGUUGUUGAAGAAGAACGUGCAUGAGAGUAACUGUUCAUGCAGUGACGGUAUUCAACCAGAAAGUCACGGCUAACUACGUGCCAGCAGCCGCGGUAAUACGUAGGUGGCAAGCGUUAUCCGGAUUUAUUGGGCGUAAAGAGAGUGCAGGCGGUUUCUUAAGUCUGAUGUGAAAACCUUCGGCUCAACCGAAGAAGUGCAUCGGAAACUGGGAAACUUGAGUACAGAAGAGGGCAGUGGAACUCCAUGUGUAGCGGUGGAAUGCGUAGAUAUAUGGAAGAACACCAGUGGCGAAGGCGGCUGCCUGGUCUGUAACUGACGCUGAGACUCGAAAGCAUGGGUAGCGAACAGGAUUAGAUACCCUGGUAGUCCAUGCCGUAAGCGAUGAGUGCUAGGUGUUGGAGGGUUUCCGCCCUUCAGUGCCGGAGCUAACGCAUUAAGCACUCCGCCUGGGGAGUACGACCGCAAGGUUGAAACUCAAAGGAAUUGACGGAGGCCCGCACAAGCGGUGGAGCAUGUGGUUUAAUUCGAAGCUACGCGAAGAACCUUACCAGGUCUUGACAUCUUGCGCCAACCCUAGAGAUAGGGCGUUUCCUUCGGGAACGCAAUGACAGGUGGUGCAUGGUCGUCGUCAGCUCGUGUCGUGAGAUGUUGGGUUAAGUCCCGCAACGAGCGCAACCCUUGUUACUAGUUGCCAGCAUUAAGUUGGGCACUCUAGUGAGACUGCCGGUGACAAACCGGAGGAAGGUGGGGAUGACGUCAAAUCAUCAUGCCCCUUAUGACCUGGGCUACACACGUGCUACAAUGGCGUAUACAACGAGUUGCCAACCCGCGAGGGUGAGCUGAUCUCUUAAAGUACGUCUCAGUUCGGAUUGUAGGCUGCAACUCGCCUACAUGAAGUCGGAAUCGCUAGUAAUCGCGGAUCAGCACGCCGCGGUGAUUACGUUCCCGGGCCUUGCACACACCGCCCGUCA